UCUUGGCCAGCCUUCUGAAAGGAAGAUUAAUCCAGGAUGGGAUCAUGAGUUCACAUGUCCGCAUGAUUAAAGGUAUUUUCCGGUAGACGAUGGGGAUGCGUUCCAUUAGAUAGUAGGCGGGGUAACGGCCCACCUAGUCAACGAUGGAUAGGGGUUCUGAGAGGAAGGUCCCCCACAUUGGAACUGAGACACGGUCCAAACUCCUACGGGAGGCAGCAGUGAGGAAUAUUGGUCAAUGGGCGAUGGCCUGAACCAGCCAAGUAGCGUGAAGGAUGACUGCCCUAUGGGUUGUAAACUUCUUUUAUAAAGGAAUAAAGUCGGGUAUGCAUACCCGUUUGCAUGUACUUUAUGAAUAAGGAUCGGCUAACUCCGUGCCAGCAGCCGCGGUAAUACGGAGGAUCCGAGCGUUAUCCGGAUUUAUUGGGUUUAAAGGGAGCGUAGAUGGAUGUUUAAGUCAGUUGUGAAAGUUUGCGGCUCAACCGUAAAAUUGCAGUUGAUACUGGAUGUCUUGAGUGCAGUUGAGGCAGGCGGAAUUCGUGGUGUAGCGGUGAAAUGCUUAGAUAU
RNAcentral lists this ribosomal RNA (564 nucleotides) under uncultured Bacteroides sp. RNAcentral's name for it is "bacterial SSU rRNA". It matches the Rfam family "Bacterial small subunit ribosomal RNA", at positions 137 to 697 of the family's 1533-position model. Lineage: Bacteria; Pseudomonadati; Bacteroidota; Bacteroidia; Bacteroidales; Bacteroidaceae. The record is from RNAcentral.